AACCACACAAUGCAGAAGGAGCGAGAACGUUUCGGCCGAAAAGACCGGCCCAGAGAAGGGAGGGGUGCGGAAAGCCGCGGACUGCAGCCGCUGGCCUGGCUGCCGCCUCGAAACAACGCCCACGCACGGGAGAAGGGCAGGCUGGCGCCCAGGGCCGCGGCCAGAGGGCGAGAGUCCGCGCCUUCCGAGGGAGCCGCGCCCUGCGGGCCCCACCGUACCCGGGGGGAUGGAGGGCUGCCCCCGAGGCCCCCGCGCGGCUCGCGGUCCCACGCCUGCCGGCCCGCGCUAGCUACUCGACUCGUGCGUUUUAUCCGUCACCCAGGCCUUGUCUCCCGAGUCAUUGGCGUCGUGGUUCGAAAGAAAUGGAAGAAAAGGAGCGAUGUGACCGAUUCUGUUCGGUCCUCCUGCUUUGAGGCCUGGCAUUUGCAGAGGGAAACAGCAAGAAAAUCGUGGGGAUUUUGGAGGGGGGUGGGAGGGAAGGGUGGGGAAAC
This 491-nucleotide small RNA is filed under the name Pongo abelii (Sumatran orangutan). Its description in RNAcentral is "processed transcript". The record is from RNAcentral. Lineage: Eukaryota; Metazoa; Chordata; Mammalia; Primates; Hominidae.